Molecule: ribosomal RNA, 466 nt
Filed under: uncultured bacterium
Lineage: Bacteria
Description: partial 16S ribosomal RNA
Rfam family: Bacterial small subunit ribosomal RNA
Source: RNAcentral
GACGAACGCUGGCGGCGUGCUUAACACAUGCAAGUCGAACGGAAAGGCCCUGCUUUUGUGGGGUGCUCGAGUGGCGAACGGGUGAGUAACACGUGAGUAACCUGCCCUUGACUUUGGGAUAACUUCAGGAAACUGGGGCUAAUACCGGAUAGGAGCUCCUGCUGCAUGGUGGGGGUUGGAAAGUUUCGGCGGUUGGGGAUGGACUCGCGGCUUAUCAGCUUGUUGGUGGGGUAGUGGCUUACCAAGGCUUUGACGGGUAGCCGGCCUGAGAGGGUGACCGGCCACAUUGGGACUGAGAUACGGCCCAGACUCCUACGGGAGGCAGCAGUGGGGAAUAUUGCACAAUGGGCGGACGCCUGAUGCAGCAACGCCGCGUGCGGGAUGACGGCCUUCGGGUUGUAAACCGCUUUCGCCUGUGACGAAGCGUGAGUGACGGUAAUGGGUAAAGAAGCACCGGCUAACUACG